Molecule: ribosomal RNA, 680 nt
Filed under: uncultured bacterium
Lineage: Bacteria
Description: bacterial SSU rRNA
Rfam family: Bacterial small subunit ribosomal RNA
Source: RNAcentral
CGGGAUAACCCGGAGAAAUCCGGCCUAAUACCGCAUGUGGCCGAGGGGAGGCAUCUUCUUUCGGCCAAAGGAGGCAACUCCGGAGACGGAUGGGCAUGCGUGACAUUAGCUUGUUGGCGGGGUAACGGCCCACCAAGGCGACGAUGUCUAGGGGUUCUGAGAGGAAGGUCCCCCACACUGGUACUGAGACACGGACCAGACUCCUACGGGAGGCAGCAGUGAGGAAUAUUGGUCAAUGGGCGAGAGCCUGAACCAGCCAAGUCGCGUGAAGGAUGACGGCCCUACGGGUUGUAAACUUCUUUUGUCAGGGAGCAAUUGAGUCCACGUGUGGGCUUAGCGAGAGUACCUGAAGAAAAAGCAUCGGCUAACUCCGUGCCAGCAGCCGCGGUAAUACGGAGGAUGCGAGCGUUAUCCGGAUUUAUUGGGUUUAAAGGGUGCGUAGGCGGAAUAUCAAGUCAGCGGUAAAAAUUCGGGGCUCAACCCCGUCGUGCCGUUGAAACUGAUGUUCUUGAGUGGGCGAGAAGUAUGCGGAAUGCGUGGUGUAGCGGUGAAAUGCAUAGAUAUCACGCAGAACUCCGAUUGCGAAGGCAGCAUACCGGCGCCCAACUGACGCUGAAGCACGAAAGCGUGGGUAUCGAACAGGAUUAGAUACCCUGGUAGUCCACGCAGUAAACGAUGAA